This 429-nucleotide ribosomal RNA is filed under the name Gemmatimonadota bacterium. Its description in RNAcentral is "Gemmatimonadetes bacterium partial 16S ribosomal RNA". It matches the Rfam family "Bacterial small subunit ribosomal RNA", at positions 355 to 776 of the family's 1533-position model. The record is from RNAcentral. Lineage: Bacteria; Pseudomonadati; Gemmatimonadota.
UAGGGAAUCUUCGGCAAUGGACGAAAGUCUGACCGAGCAACGCCGCGUGAGUGAAGAAGGUUUUCGGAUCGUAAAACUCUGUUGUUAGAGAAGAACAAGGACGUUAGUAACUGAACGUCCCCUGACGGUAUCUAACCAGAAAGCUACGGCUAACUAAGUGCCAGCAGCCGCGGUAAUACGUAGGUGGCAAGCGUUGUCCGGAUUUAUUGGGCGUAAAGCGAGCGCAGGGGGUUUCUUAAGUCUGAUGUGAAAGCCCCCGGCUCAACCGGGGAGGGUCAUUGGAGACUGGGAGGCUUGAGUGCAGAAGAGGAGAGUGGAAUUCCAUGUGUAGCAGUGAAAUGCGUAGAUAUAUGAAGGAACACCAGUGGCGAAGGCGGCUCUCUGGUCUGUAACUGACGCUGAGGCUCGAAAGCGUGGGGAGCAAACAGG